This 214-nucleotide long non-coding RNA is filed under the name Mytilus galloprovincialis (Mediterranean mussel). Lineage: Eukaryota; Metazoa; Mollusca; Bivalvia; Mytilida; Mytilidae. The record is from RNAcentral.
GAACGUCCGUUAGGAGUCCGUUUUGUACGGUACUCGUCCGUUUCGUUUCCGUUUUGUAUCCGUUACGUGUCCGUUAUACAUCCGUUGGAGGUCUGGAAGAUAAAUUCACCAACGGACUUCUACCGGACGUUUAACGGAUAAAACGGGUGUUGAACGGAUGAGAAACGGACUUCUACCGGACGUAUAACGGAUAAAACGGAUGAUGAACGGAUCU